Molecule: unclassified non-coding RNA, 256 nt
Filed under: uncultured fungus
Lineage: Eukaryota; Fungi
Description: sequence contains ITS1, 5.8S rRNA gene
Rfam family: 5.8S ribosomal RNA (bases 208-256)
Source: RNAcentral
UUUCCGUAGGUGAACCUGCGGAAGGAUCAUUAUCGAGCGGGGGGUCCUCGUGGCCCUACACCCGUUUCUCUUGUUUACAAGCCACUUUGUUUCUUCGGCGGUCCCCGCCUUGAGCCCUCUUCACUGAGGUGCCUUGGUGCCCGUCGGAGGCCAUUUUAAACCUUUUUAUUGAAACUUGACGUCUGAGUCUAUAUGAAAAUAAGCAAAAACUUUCAACAACGGAUCUCUUGGUUCUGGCAUCGAUGAAGAACGCAGC